This 670-nucleotide ribosomal RNA is filed under the name uncultured Bacteroidales bacterium. Its description in RNAcentral is "bacterial SSU rRNA". It matches the Rfam family "Bacterial small subunit ribosomal RNA", at positions 63 to 727 of the family's 1533-position model. The record is from RNAcentral. Lineage: Bacteria; Pseudomonadati; Bacteroidota; Bacteroidia; Bacteroidales.
CGAGGGGCAGCACAGGUAGCAAUACCGGGCGGCGACCGGCGCACGGGUGAGUAACGCGUAUGCAACUUGCCUAUCAGAGGGGGAUAACCCGGCGAAAGUCGGACUAAUACCGCAUGAAGCAGGGAUCCCGCAUGGGAAUAUUUGCUAAAGAUUCAUCGCUGGUAGAUAGGCAUGCGUUCCAUUAGGCAGUUGGCGGGGUAACGGCCCACCAAACCGACGAUGGAUAGGGGUUCUGAGAGGAAGGUCCCCCACAUUGGUACUGAGACACGGACCAAACUCCUACGGGAGGCAGCAGUGAGGAAUAUUGGUCAAUGGCCGAGAGGCUGAACCAGCCAAGUCGCGUGAGGGAUGAAGGUUCUAUGGAUCGUAAACCUCUUUUAUAAGGGAAUAAAGUGCGGGACGUGUCCCGUUUUGUAUGUACCUUAUGAAUAAGGAUCGGCUAACUCCGUGCCAGCAGCCGCGGUAAUACGGAGGAUCCGAGCGUUAUCCGGAUUUAUUGGGUUUAAAGGGUGCGUAGGCGGCCUUUUAAGUCAGCGGUGAAAGUCUGUGGCUCAACCAUAGAAUUGCCGUUGAAACUGGGGGGCUUGAGUAUGUUUGAGGCAGGCGGAAUGCGUGGUGUAGCGGUGAAAUGCAUAGAUAUCACGCAGAACCCCGAUUGCGAAGGCAGUCU